AGUGUGGUUAGAACGCAGGCAGGGAGGGGUGGAAACAAUGUCAGUCGCGGGAGUUGUCUGAGGGUUUGCACAGAGGAGUGAGGAGAUCCACCUCAGACUGAUGCCGUGAGACCAGACUGAAGGUGGAGGAGGCAGCAUGGAAAUGGAGACCAGUCAGAAGGCUGAGAGUCUAGGCAAGGUGAGGAUGGCUCAUCCCGGUGGUGGCUGUGAGGGAGGAAGUGAGACUCCCCUGAGCGCACCAGGCUGCAUGCAGCUCAGGCCACGUGGAGAAGCCAUGGAGAAUGAGACACACCCUGGAGGAGAGCAUGGCCAAGAAGCACCAGAUAAGUGACGAAGAAGCUUCUCAGAGGCGGCUCUCCCGGCUCCAGCUCCCCAAUGGCCAUCAUGUGGAGUCAAGAAGAACCGUUCUGUUGAGCCCUCUCCAAAUUCCUGACCCACAAAAUUGUGAGCAAACUAAAACAGCUAAUUGAAGUCCCUAUGUUUUGGAGCACUUUGUUAUACAGCAGUGGAUAACUGCAACAUGACCCAACAGCCAGCAAGAUCUUUUAAAAAUGGAAACCAAACAAUGCCACUCCUCAACUUCAAGCUCUCCAGUGGCUUCUUAUUACAAAAUCUGGACUUUUCACCAUGGCCUGCAGGGCUCUGGACAGUCUGGGCCCUGUCCCCAUUGCCACUCCCUUCCUCCCUGGGCUCCAUCCACACUGUCCUCAACCCUCCAGCACAGUAAGUGCCUGCUCACAUUCCUUCUUCCUGAGACACUCCGCAUCUCUUCUCAUCUCCUGGUCUCUGCUAAGAUGUCAUCUCCUCCACUUUACACCCAUCUGGGUGCCUGUUAACAAGAAAACAGGAAAUAACAAGGGUUGAUGAAGAUGUGGAGAAGUUGAAAUCCCGAUACAUUUUAUAUGAUACAUGUACUAUAAAAUGAUACACUUUAUAGUAAGAUGGCACUGUUCUGCUGCGGAAAACAGUAUGGUGUUUUCUAAAAAAAUUAAACAGAAUUACUGUAUGACCUGGCAAUUUCUCUUCUGGGUAAAUACUCAAAAGAAUUGAAACCAGAAUCUCACAGAGAUAAUUGUAUGCCCAUAUUCGUAGCAGUAUUAUUCACAGGAGCUAAGGGGUGGGAGCAACCCAAGUGUCCAUGACAGAUGAAUGGAUGAGCACAUGUGGUCUAUCCACACAAUGGGUAUUACUGAGCCUUCAAAAGGAAGACAAUUCUGCACAUGCUACAACUUGGAUGAACCUUGAGGACAUUAUGCUGAGCGAUAUAAGCCAGUAAAAAAAGGAAAAUACUGUAUGACUCCACCUAUAUGAGGUACUAGUAUAGUCACAUUCCUAGAGACACAAAGUAGAAUGGUGGGUGCCAGAAGAGGAGGGAAUGGGGAGUUAGUGUUUAGUGGGGACAGAGUUUCAGGUUUGCAAGAUGAAAAAAGAUAGAGACACAUGGUGGUAAUGGCUGCACAACAAUGUGAAUGUGCUUAAUGCCACUGAACUUAAAAAUGGUUAAGAUGAUAAAUUCUGUGUUAUGUAUAUUUUACCACAAUAAAAAAUACGAA
RNAcentral lists this long non-coding RNA (1553 nucleotides) under Homo sapiens (human). Its description in RNAcentral is "HSALNT0314420". The record is from RNAcentral. Lineage: Eukaryota; Metazoa; Chordata; Mammalia; Primates; Hominidae.